GUAUAAUCUAAUUUUUCCUUCUUUUGUGUUUUUCUUCCAUUCUCUCUUUCCUUCAUUUGCCAUUUCCAAACCGCCAAGCGUGUAGGAAAGAGGAGAAUGAAAAGUUCCAUAGAACAGGAUAGAACAUAGAUGUUGUUUUUUUCAUGUAGUUGAAUUUUGAAAAAACGAGAAAAACACAAACAAAAAAGAAACAACCAAGAACACUUG
This 207-nucleotide non-coding RNA is filed under the name Protocruzia adhaerens. The record is from RNAcentral. Lineage: Eukaryota; Ciliophora; Spirotrichea.